Molecule: non-coding RNA, 6124 nt
Organism: Caretta caretta (loggerhead turtle)
Lineage: Eukaryota; Metazoa; Chordata; Testudines; Cheloniidae
Source: RefSeq, a predicted model, not a curated record
UUCUGUGAUCCAAUCUGUCACAGUAACAUUGUUUGACUUUUGUUUUUGUUUUUUACCAUUAAAUUUCCUAGCUUUUUGAACAGGGAAAGAUAUGUUGCUGGUGGGAGUUAGUAGAAAUUUAGACAGUUGUACGUGUCAUGUCCUGUAACUUGCACACUGAACCAAUUAGCCUUCCCCUCCCAUCAGCUGGGUCCCACCAGCCCUGGUUUGGCCCCACCUCAGAAGCCAAGUCCCUGAGCUAUUCACUGUGUUCCCCUCUUCAACCUGGCUCCCUCCCCCAGUACUGUACCCAGGGCCCUCCACUGUAAUCAUCUCCUUGAUGUCCUCACUCCCUGGUAUACAAAUAUUUCUAUUGCUGUUACUUCCCCCCCUCCCAUAACUCAACUCACAAGCAGUUCCUGGAGCGAAGAGCAGCUAUGUUACAGUGGAGUGGUGUUCCUGGUCAUGUAUCACAAUGGUUGGCAGGAGUAGUUUGUCACAUAGCCAGCGAGAGAAAUCACAAACAGGGUUUCUGUUCCAAAGUACAGUUUUAUGCUUGAGAGAGAGAUCCUUUGACCCCUGUCCAAUAGCUGCACCCCAACUCAGAGAAACAGUGAGGUGUUUUGAACCAAACUACCAUAACCCUUUGAAACUUUGUAGGUGAGCCAAAGUCCCACUAUGUUUUGUGUUCGUAAUUCUUUGUCUUAAAGAUCAUCUUAGGUUCAACCUAAACUGACCCUAGUGCUUUGUGUUAAACUAAUACAGGUUGAACCUUUCUAGUUCGGUACCCUCAGGACCUGACCAGUGCCAAACCACAGAAUUUGCCAAACCACAGGAGGUUAAUAUUAUAGCGAGGGGGUCUCUUUAAAUUUUUAUCUCACCGAGGCAAAUAAACGGAACAAAAUUUGCAAUGCCACCUAGCCAAGGCUUACCGACUCUCUUCAUAGCAAAGUGUUAGUGUUGUUGCACAAUGUUACUGUAUUGGCACAAGAAAAUAAGUAUAUAAAGCGUAAAAAACAUAAAAUAAUAUGAAAAAGAAAUAGAUGAUAGUACACGUAAAUCUAUAAUUUACUCACCUAAAAUGAUGCCUGAAUUCCACUUCCAAAGUGAUGUGACAAGAACUGCUAACUCAAAUUACAUGCGAGUUACAUCUGGGGUCUCUGCUAUAGGUAUACCCAGGGUAGAUGAAGUGGAGACAACAUGAUUUUCGACUGUAGAAUGCUGCUUACCACUCCUCUUCACUACCUUUAACCAAUCUUCCAGCUUGGCUUGUCUCAUGUAUUUUGGUUUUUCUUUAAUGAGUUUUUCUCUUAUCAUGUAGAGAGACAUGAUUUCUUGCUCAGAAAUGAAAUGUCUUUGCUCCAGUCCUUCUAUUACAUUUGUUGCCAACUGAAUGCAUUUAUCGAUAGAAAUUUUUUCUUCGACAUCCUCAUCACCAUCACUGUCUUCUUUGUUAUCUUUGUUUUUUCCCUGCUGUACCAUUUGCACAAUUUCUUCAACCGUCAUUUGACUAGCAAUUGGUGCAUCUUUGUUAGCUUCCACCCAGUCUAGUAAAUUUUCCUCUGCCAAAUCCUUGGUAGCUCAAGCACUACAGUGUGGGACAUACCACUGGCAUACUCCAUUAACUCACUAACAGUUUUUUGGUUUUCAGACACUUGAAAUCCAGUGACCUCAGACUCGUCAUUGACAUCAGGACUGUCCUAAAAUAUUAGGGCUGGCCACAAUUUGUGCCAUCCAUUCUUCAGAGUAGAUGGAGUUACUCUUUCCCAGUCUCUAGCUAGUGUCCAAAUCACAUCCUUGAGGUUAAAUUCUUUCCUAAAUGUUCUCAAACUCUUCCCAUCAUUAAGCAGUACUAGCAAUUGGUGCAUAAACUUGGACCUGUACAUACCCUUCAGGGAUCACAAGGCUGAAUCAGCGAGGUACCGUUUGGGGGUAAAUACAGUCCCACCACAUUAUCUUUGAGCAAUGGGCUCUUGCCUCCGGUACAAAAUAUUUCUCAAACCACUUGAGACAUAGAUUAAUCGUUAUCCAUCCCUUUUUCUUGCCACAGUAUAUUACUGGGAAUAUUUUCACCUCUUUGAAUGCCCUUGGGUUUACACAUUUUCCAGUAACCAUGAGCUUGCAUUUGUGCAUGCCUGCUGUGUUGCUACAACCAAGGACAGUUACCCUGUCCUUCAACUACUUCGUAACCAGAUGGUGGCCCCUCUGCAUCAGAAGCCAACUUUUUUUUAGGCAUACAACACCAGUAGAGAGCAGUUUCAUCGGCAUUCUAUACCUGCUCUGGGAAUAACGUCUCAUUUGCAAGUAACUGCAAAUUUGUCAAUGUACUUAGCAGCAGCUUCCAUAUCUGCACUUCUUUUUUCACUGCACACACCAUGUAGAUGAAUGCCAUGCCUGUUUUUAAAUUUCUGAAUCCAUCCUUGCAAAUAGUCACACUCAUGCUGCAGGUUAAGUUCUUUGUGGAAUAUUUUUGUUUGUGCCACCAUCAUUUCACCUGAAAUUCUAACACCUUCGUUCCUACAAAGCUUGAACCAAUGUAUAAGCGUACUAUCUAAAUCACUGCUUUUCCCCUCCUUCAAUGUCUUAUGAACACUCAUACUUCUUUUUACUGUCAUGUUCGGCAAAAAACUUAAGGAUUUGAUUCUUUUGCUUCUUCAAAUCAUACACUGUAAAUGACCCUACAUUGUAAAACUCUCACAAGGCACGUACCGAUGUGCCCUUUUCCAAUUUCUGCAGCACUUCCACCUUUUGCUGUGUGGAUAUUGACACAUGCUUACGCUUAGCAGCAUUACCAACACUUCCACUGCUUGCUGGACAUAUUUAGGGGUAAAUUAGAGCUAAAUAACAGCACAGAACACUGAGAGCCAGGACUGGCGGGACUUCGCUGGACCAUGGGAAUCUUGGCCCCACCCAUGAUAAGCGCACAUUCGGCUAACUAAAACCAUGCUGGACCACGGAUGUUGCCGGACUAGAGAAGUUCAACCUGUAAUCAGGAAAAGGUCUGUAACCAAUCAGUAGGAUUGUACUUAAUCAUCCACUUUGAUUUUACUCUGACUUAGCUGACUUAGUCCCAAUACCCCAAAAGGGACCACUUGUAAUUGAUAUGGGGAAAAUGUUUUCUGUGAUUAAUAAAACAAUAAUCUAUCAGAAGAUGCUUUUAGAUUAUCAAUCAUAGAAACCAGAUACCAAUCUGCCUGAAGCGUCAGGUGAUCAGGCUGAGGCCGCAGGAUCAAUAGGGGAGGAGAUGAAGGAGCACACCAAGUAACUAAGUUUUAAAGCUUUAUUAAUAAAAUAACAGUGGUGAGCGCUGGGGGCUCCCCACAUCAUUCAAGGGAAGAAAGAAAGCAUUAGUGCCCAUGCCCUAACCACUUUCAUACUCUCACAUGCACAACCCAAGGCUGGCCAAGCCUGGGUGUAAUGUCAGAAGAAAAUGGGGAAGGGUGGACGAGAGUUCUGUCCUGUACACAGGCCGUCCAGGGUCCGCUGUUGAUCUCAAAUUUGCUUCAGCUCUCAGGAGGGUUUUAAGUCCUGGGGUCUUUUGGGGGUGUUUUGUUCAGGGACCUCUGUCCCCCGUGCUCAUUGUACCUGUCCAAACCGGCUUUCCGUGGCUUCCUCAGCUUUUCCAAAACACACCAGCUUCAGGGACACACUUCUGUUAUUUUCCCACUCACUGACCUUCGCUGUCUCACUGGCUUUUGCAGCCCCUGCAGUUCUAUUCAGCUGAAUCCUCCUCUCUCACGGCUGGACUGGGUUGGAAUCCAGGCUCCUGUCUUUCUUGGCAGGCAGCCGAGAGUUGGUUGUGUGCUGUGGCCUUGGGCUGGAGUCAGCAUCUUAUCUUCGAACCUACCUGGAGUGUCGAAUUAACCUGUUCCUUUCUCCCUUCCUCCCCCUUCGGCCUCUCACAACCUGCAAAGAAAUCUUUCACUCCACACUCACACCUUCAACCCCUCCCAAGAUCCUUUCCAAUGCAUAUAAAAGCAUUAGCAAUAUACAAUGCUGAUGCUUACCCAGGGGACCCACUGGGUAAUUUUACCGUGACAAUAGGCCCUGGGAAUUGGUGGGCGUGGAUGUAAUAGGGCCAUUACCAACAACAAACAAGGGAUACCAGUACAUCUUGGCAGUCAUGGAUUAUCUUACAAAAUGGGUGGCAUAAGUCAGCACAUGAAGUGGCAAAGAAAAUCGGUAAAAUUAUAAAUUGAUUUGGAUAUCUAUAGUGGAUACUGACAUAUCUUGGUUCUGGAUUCACUAAUGAGGUAAUGAUUUAUUUUUGAGAUUUUUUUCACUAUUUCUUCAACCACACUAUUGGAUCAUGGAUAUUUGACACUGACUAUGGGCUUCAUUGUCUUCAUUAUUAUAAUUUUUUUUACUGUAAAUUGUUCCUGACACGUUUUUCUGUCUAUUUAUUCACCAAUUUUUUUUAUAACAAACUGAUUGCAAACUUACUUUUCCAUGUAGUCAUUCUAAAAGAUAGAAUAGGAAACCACAGUAAUUACAUGUAAAAUCAGUUGAAAAUAGGAGAAGGAACAUACAUGCAGACAUUUCCAAAGGAAACUUUAUGGCAUUUUUUUUCUUUCACUUUAACCUGGCCCUUUGUGGGGAAAAAUGGGGGUAUAACAUAGCUUCAUCAGCUCAUACCUCCCACAAACCAAUGGACUGGAUGAAAACACCAACAAAUCCAUCAAAUUUUAGAGGGGAAAAUUUAAAUACUAAACAAAAGUAGCGUGCACCAGACCAUAAGCUACAUAUUGGUAAUACCUCUUCAGGGUCAAUUUAUUACAUUGCAAGUCUUUUUAUUGUAUUACAUGUGAAAUGAAAAAUAAUCGAAGCCAGCACUGUGGUGUUCUCCUCCUUAGACCUUCUUGAUUCCAUAUAAUCUAUCUCAAUCAAGACAUCAUGUUUACUAUUUGUUUUCACAAACUAAUCAAUCACCAUUUCUUACAGAGCACUGCAGAAGUUGGUUGAUACCACUGGGAGUAAUUGGGAUAAAUUUUUUGAUAACCUUUUAUUUUCUUUGAAAUCUAAACAGCAGAUGAGAACAAAAAUGUCACGCUUUCAACUGUAGUAUGGCUUUGAAGCAACAUUCCAUACAAGGGCUCAGAGAAUUAUACAAUGGUUCAUCUACUGCAAAGCUGGAAAAUCCACAAUGGGACUCUGGAAAAUAAAAAUUGUGGAACACAGGAGACAAGCAGUUGGACACAACAGUGGGCCACCUCAUUCUAAAAUUAUUCAGUGUCAAAUUUUGAUUAUUUCUUAAUGAUGUGUAAUUAUGAUGUGUUUUCUAAUUAAAAGUAUUAGUUUGCAGAAACAUAUUUAGAGCAUAAAGACAUCAGUACUAUGGAAACCACACAAGAGACUCUAACUAUGUAUAGAAGAAAAAUCACCAUUCUUUUAAUUAAAGAGUCAGGUAAUAACUUUGUUACCAGUACCUAGUACCUAGUGAGACCAGAGUAUAUGGGAAGAUAACAGGAAGAGUGGAAUAAUGUCAUAUCACAAAGUUAUCAGUAGGUUAUGUCACAGGUUUGAUUCUCUAAGGGUCUCUCUGCAUGAAUAAUGUCUUUGAUUAGUGAAAAAUGGGGAGUGCAUAGAUGGUUGACAUUGAAAGAGCAAUGAAAUCUAAUUGGAUAUAGUUAUAUCCACCAGCAGUCAACUAAAAGUUUGAGAUAAAUAGACAAGGGUACCAAAUAUAAUUUAAAAUAUGACCCCCAAAAAAGAAAAAUAUUUGCAAAUCAGUAACUUAAUACUUGAUAUAAUUGACAUUCAUGAAUAAAUCAAGAUUUCUAUUUAGAGUUUUGGUCAUAAGGUAAUCAUCAUUUGAUUACAUUAUAUUGAUUUUACAGAGAGCAUGAAGGAGUACUGCACCUUGUCAUAUGCAAAAAUGAAAAUUGCAUAGUUAACACCAUGUUCGAACAGAUAAGUAAACAGAAUACUGUAUGAUUGUUUAUAGCACAUGAACAAAAGUCAUGGCCCAAGACCCAGCCAGGUCUAACCUGAUGGAAUAACUUUGCUAAGGACCAGGAUUGUUGUAAUAAUUCCACAUUAGUAAAUAUUUCCAGUGUUGCUGACUAACUUUGACUAAUGAUUAUAUGUUCAAGGAAUAUUAUUUUAUAAUUGUAUGAAUUAAUUGAAAUUAUAUUUAGCAUAAUUA